UAGGGAAUCUUCGGCAAUGGGGGCAACCCUGACCGAGCAACGCCGCGUGAGUGAAGAAGGUUUUCGGAUCGUAAAACUCUGUUGUAAGUCAAGAACGAGUGUGAGAGUGGAAGGUUCACACUGUGACGGUAGCUUACCAGAAAGGGACGGCUAACUACGUGCCAGCAGCCGCGGUAAUACGUAGGUCCCGAGCGUUGUCCGGAUUUAUUGGGCGUAAAGCGAGCGCAGGCGGUUUGAUAAGUCUGAAGUUAAAGGCUGUGGCUCAACCAUAGUUCGCUUUGGAAACUGUCAAACUUGAGUGCAGAAGGGGAGAGUGGAAUUCCAUGUGUAGCGGUGAAAUGCGUAGAUAUAUGGAGGAACACCGGUGGCGAAAGCGGCUCUCUGGUCUGUAACUGACGCUGAGGCUCGAAAGCGUGGGGAGCGAACAGGAUUAGAUACCCUGGUAGUCCACGCCGUAAACGAUGAGUGCUAGGUGUUGGAUCCUUUCCGGGAUUCAGUGCCGCAGCUAACGCAUUAAGCACUCCGCCUGGGGAGUACGACCGCAAGGUUG
RNAcentral lists this ribosomal RNA (550 nucleotides) under uncultured bacterium. RNAcentral describes it as "bacterial SSU rRNA". It matches the Rfam family "Bacterial small subunit ribosomal RNA", at positions 355 to 896 of the family's 1533-position model. The record is from RNAcentral.